This is a long non-coding RNA of Lolium perenne, 1766 nucleotides long. RefSeq lists it as uncharacterized. NCBI's taxonomy places the organism in Eukaryota, Viridiplantae, Streptophyta, Magnoliopsida, Poales, Poaceae. The record is from RefSeq and is a predicted model, not a curated record.
GUCAGAAAAAAACUUCCGAUCCCCAGUUACCUUUUCUCCUCCAGCCCAUUCUUACCCUAGCAGCAGCCGCCGCAGAUCAAGUCAUCCUCCUCCCUUAUUCUCUGCUUCCGCCUCCGGCCAUCCGACGACUGGCGCCGCAGCUGCCUCAUCAGCGUUGCCUUUACCUCCUAGCCACAGCACUCGACCUUGCCUACUUCUUCCUCAAAGCCGAGCAGGGACACGGCACGGCCGCGGAGCUUUGAGGCCAGGAGAUCAACUGGGGUUCGAGACACCGCUAGGCCUCCGCCACCGCCUGCAGGGCCCUGUGCCGCGACGGGGAUUGCUGCUGCUACCCGUGGGUCCUUAAGGUUCGUUUGUUGCACAGAAAUACAUCAAUCUCUACUCCUAUUCGAGCUUUGUAUUCAUCUGAGUGAUCUUCUAUUAAGAGGACCCGUGUGUGGUUGGACUGCUGAUUGAAGAAAUAAAAGGAUGUGGUGGCUCCCGCUGCAAUUGCACUUCUGGCCAUCUUGCAGAAAUCACAUCACAGGUUUGUAGAUUCGUUGUGAAUAGGAAAUGAGUGCAGUUUGGAGUUGAUAAAUAUUUGCGUGCUAUAUGAUCUGCUUCUACAUGCACGAAUAAACAUUCAUAUGAAAGAAGAAUCAAAUAUUGUUUGGUAGGAACCAUGUCAACUUACUCUUAUUGCAAUAUUCCUCACUUAAUUAAAAACUCAUAUAUUAGUGUUAGCAAUUUGACCAUCUGAUAAGUUAAAAACAAACGUUUCCUUUAUAAUCACUAGAAAGUUAUAGUGAGGGGCCUUCUUUGCUUACUGCAUCUGAUUCUACUUAACUGGAAAUGGCAUAGCUAUGAUAAGUUUCAUUACAAGUUAAACAUCUGUUGUAAGUCAGGCAGAAAGAUAUAGUGUUUGUGCUUGCAUGCAAACAGGUGUUUAGCAACGUGAAGAUAUCAGUGUUGUAGAAUUGUACGUGUUUUAACAACUAAUCUAGUUGAGUAUACCCUAUUUACAUGUUUUUGAUCAAAUAUGUAGUAGAAAUUACUGUACCCUAGUUGGCUGGAGGGUAAGCCUUACCGCCUUAGAGGAAGAACCAUAACUUUGAUUUUUCAUGAAAUUGGCUGACUAGUUUAUUUUCAUACUUGUUGUUAGGAUCGAUAAAGAUAAACCAACAGAGAGCGCUCGCAACAACUUGUUUCAGCUAGCCGCAAGCUGGCAAGCUAAUAAGAACUUCUUGUUGAAGGUCAAGUAGACUCAUUCAUCAGUCAGGUCUUUAAACAAGUCUUCUAUAGCUUCAGGUUUUUUUUUUUAUGAUGACUAUUGAUCUAUUCUUAAUAGGGAAACUUCCAAGUCGUCUGUGGCUUUGGCAUUCAGGUCUUGGUGUAGACCCCUUUACACUUAGCGUCACAGCUGUGAAUGAUCAUAUGAAAAGGGGACGAUGUGGUACGGAUGUGUAAUCUGGGUCGAGGUUCUCAAGAAGGCUAGUUACGAGAAGGCCUAUGCAAACUACCUGAUGCUGACACCAAACAAGGAGCACCUGACCUACUGUUUUUUGGCCACAUCGGUUCUAAAAUAGGAACUUUCUUUUUGCAGGCCCAUAAGAUCAGCAAGGACCGCCUCAGUCAAAUGCUACAUUAAAAGGCAGAGCACGAGAGGGAAUAUAUAUAGGAUUAGUUAGAAUAUCAUAUUAUGAUGUAAGAUUGUAAGACGUGUAAUCUUAAGAUAAUUUUCAUGUAUGGAUGCUGAUUUUAGUUAUAAAUAUAGAAAUAUUUCUUCA